Molecule: non-coding RNA, 1170 nt
Organism: Kogia breviceps (pygmy sperm whale)
Lineage: Eukaryota; Metazoa; Chordata; Mammalia; Artiodactyla; Physeteridae
Source: RefSeq, a predicted model, not a curated record
UCUCGCCCAUAUGCGGCCACCGCAUCGCGGCUUCGCCCCGGAGAGCGGGGUGGUGGUGAUGGUGGUGCUGAGGGCCUGCUGCUUUUUCCAGCGUCAUUGCAGGCUCUCACCCAGUCCUUUUCAUGGCCCCAAGCCGCAACUUACUCGAGUGGAAGGAAGCAAGGCCUCGCCAAAGAUGGUUGCAAAAGACCGCGAGCCUCUACCCAGGAUCUUGAAGCCAAGGCCUAAAUGCUGAAAAGCCAGCCCUGCCCAAGGAAAGAGAAGGAUAGGGACCGAGGAAAGGGUUGUUGUAUGAACUCUAUAUAGAAUCAAAGAAGAGCAAGAAAUUUUGGGAUUGGGAUACCAGCAAAGAGUCAUCUUCAGCAACUAUGGGCCAACGGGCAAUACCUGUUGAGAGCUUUUCCAUCACACAGAGUGUUAAGUCAACUUGACUGUGGCACGUGGAAAAUUCAGAGCAUAAACCACAACCAGUUAAACUACAGUAAGUCCCCUACCUACGAACCUUCAAGUUGCAAACGUGUGUUCGCAUGUCCAAUUACAUAACUCAGUUCACAUGUCUGACGUACACUGUCACGUGCAUGCAUCCUCUACAAGCGGUUGUGCUUUUGUGUACGUCACAGUACUGUAGAGAGUACAGUAGUACAGUAUCUUUAUUUCAAGCUAGAUCUGCAAGAGGACGACUUCAUUGAACUUGCUGUGCAACGUGAGCAGAUUACUAAUGAAGACCUGACAGAAUUGGAGGCCCAGAGAAAGGACCAAGAGCGACAAGGGGAAGAAGAAGUAACUGAAGAACCGAAGAGAUUCACGACGCAGAAAAUGGCAAGGGGGUUUUCUUUAUUUGAGGCGGCACUGUUAGUGUUUGAGGCACAGGACCCGAAGGUAGAAUGGUACGUGAAGGUUGCAGCAGCCGUUCAGAACGCGAUCCAGUGCUACCGUGUCAUCUAUGACAAGAAAAGAAGAGCUACUACCCAGACAUCACUGGAUCAUUUUUUCAAGAGGGUAGAUAGAAUUGAAUCCAGCAAGGAACCAGAACCUGUGCCAUCAACGUCAGGCGUGAGCGACAUUGCAGCUUGCCCUCCAUCUCCUGUUGCUGACGAUCCUUCAGCUCUACCAUCUCCCACCCCCUCUCCCUCCUCGUCAGUAACUCUUCUUGCAAUGCCAGCCCCCGGA